This 57-nucleotide transfer RNA is filed under the name Macropicola ocydromi. Its description in RNAcentral is "tRNA-Asn". Lineage: Eukaryota; Metazoa; Nematoda; Chromadorea; Rhabditida; Strongylidae. The record is from RNAcentral.
UAAGAGGUAGUUUAUUUUAGAAUUGUUGACUGUUAAUCAAAAGGAGAGAACUCUUAA